GCACUCAUAGAUCAACUGGAUAGAUCGUUUGACUACGGAUCAAAAGGCUGCGGGUUCGAAUCCUGCUGGGUGCGCCA
Molecule: transfer RNA, 77 nt
Filed under: Acholeplasmatales bacterium
Lineage: Bacteria; Bacillati; Mycoplasmatota; Mollicutes; Acholeplasmatales
Description: tRNA-Arg
Rfam family: tRNA
About the family: Transfer RNA (tRNA) molecules are approximately 80 nucleotides in length. Their secondary structure includes four short double-helical elements and three loops (D, anti-codon, and T loops).
Source: RNAcentral